GAGGGUAUAGCCCAGUGGUAGGGUGUGUGCUUAGAAUACACAAGCUCCUGGGUCCAAUCCCCAGUACCUCCG
Molecule: transfer RNA, 72 nt
Filed under: Camelus bactrianus (Bactrian camel)
Lineage: Eukaryota; Metazoa; Chordata; Mammalia; Artiodactyla; Camelidae
Also listed under: 1 other name
Rfam family: tRNA
About the family: Transfer RNA (tRNA) molecules are approximately 80 nucleotides in length. Their secondary structure includes four short double-helical elements and three loops (D, anti-codon, and T loops). Further hydrogen bonds mediate the characteristic L-shaped molecular structure. tRNAs have two regions of fundamental functional importance: the anti-codon, which is responsible for specific mRNA codon recognition, and the 3' end, to which the tRNAs corresponding amino acid is attached (by aminoacyl-tRNA synthetases). tRNAs cope with the degeneracy of the genetic code in two manners: having more than one tRNA (with a specific anti-codon) for a particular amino acid; and 'wobble' base-pairing, i.e. permitting non-standard base-pairing at the 3rd anti-codon position.
Source: Rfam by way of RNAcentral